Transfer RNA from Bipolaris zeicola 26-R-13, 91 nucleotides. It matches the Rfam family "tRNA". Rfam says of the family: Transfer RNA (tRNA) molecules are approximately 80 nucleotides in length. Their secondary structure includes four short double-helical elements and three loops (D, anti-codon, and T loops). The record is from Rfam. Lineage: Eukaryota; Fungi; Ascomycota; Dothideomycetes; Pleosporales; Pleosporaceae.
GGGCGCUUGGUCUAGGGGUAUGAUUUUCGCUUCGCAUACUAUCCAUGUGCGUACUUGUGAAAGGUCGUGGGUUCAAUUCCCACAGCGUCCA